AGUAGCUGAAUUGUGCAUGACAACUUGACAUCCGUGCGGCACUCGCCACUUGCCACUGCAUAUUAUUUUCUUGUCCACUAACAAUGUCUCUCCUCUGCCCCCUGUGUGUCCACGGCCCUGUUGCUGAAUUGGCCCGAUGAAUCGAAUGUCUUCCGCAACUGGAACGGCCCAGUAAACGAUGUCGCGUCGGCGACUGAAUGCGCUGGAGGGAAAAUAUUGCUGCGAAGACGUUUCCUCUAGACGACGGUAUAUCAUCCCGUGACGACCACAUUGAAGUCUGAAUUUGAAGUGUGAAGAUGCUUCAGCAACCGCAUCGUACUUUUCCAUUGCUUUCAUUGUGCUUCUACUGUGCAUGUGUGUAACUUGUGGGGUAAACAUGUGAUGACAUUGUAUGCUGGCGACACGGUCAGAUGUUGUCCAUGCGUCUAACGUACACGUGCAUGUUAUGCAUUGAAAAGGAUUUGCCACUUGCGAUCCUGGGACGAGUAUCAGGUCAGCUUUGUCCUGUCUGGGCUGUAUCAGAUUGCUGUUCACUUCUCUAUCUGUUGGAUGUGUGACUUUCUGCAAGUUUCUGGUGUAUGAUGGCCACUUCCUUUCUUGUCACUUUGUAUGAUAUUACAUUCUGUAUUCGCUGCUUCCAUGGCGUGGUCUGCAAACUGCAAUCCUUGGGCAAAUGUCAUGUUUGCUAUGUUGUGCUUUGGCCGUCAGCUUGUCUACACGCUGUAGUUGAAUUAUUUUUGUUUCACAACUGACUUCCUCAAGUACGGUGGCCACUGCUUUGCAUGGCAUUAUA
Long non-coding RNA from Sycon ciliatum, 793 nucleotides. RefSeq lists it as uncharacterized. The transcript has 2 exons. NCBI's taxonomy places the organism in Eukaryota, Metazoa, Porifera, Calcarea, Leucosolenida, Sycettidae. The record is from RefSeq and is a predicted model, not a curated record.